Molecule: ribosomal RNA, 429 nt
Filed under: Chloroflexota bacterium
Lineage: Bacteria; Bacillati; Chloroflexota
Description: Chloroflexi bacterium partial 16S ribosomal RNA
Rfam family: Bacterial small subunit ribosomal RNA
Source: RNAcentral
UGGGGAAUAUUGCACAAUGGGCGCAAGCCUGAUGCAGCCAUGCCGCGUGUAUGAAGAAGGCCUUCGGGUUGUAAAGUACUUUCAGUCGGGAGGAAGGUGGUAAGGUUAAUAACCUUGGCAAUUGACGUUACCGACAGAAGAAGCACCGGCUAACUCCGUGCCAGCAGCCGCGGUAAUACGGAGGGUGCAAGCGUUAAUCGGAAUUACUGGGCGUAAAGCGCACGCAGGCGGUUGAUUGAGUCAGAUGUGAAAUCCCCGGGCUUAACCCGGGAAUUGCAUCUGAUACUGGUCAGCUAGAGUCUUGUAGAGGGGGGUAGAAUGCCAUGUGUAGCGGUGAAAUGCGUAGAGAUGUGGAGGAAUACCGGUGGCGAAGGCGGCCCCCUGGACAAAGACUGACGCUCAGGUGCGAAAGCGUGGGGAGCAAACAGG